GCAGUCGAGCGCACCUUCGGGUGAGCGGCGGACGGGUUAGUAACGCGUGGGAACGUGCCCUUCUCUACGGAAUAGCCUCGGGAAACUGAGAGUAAUACCGUAUACGCCCUUCGGGGGAAAGAUUUAUCGGAGAAGGAUCGGCCCGCGUUAGAUUAGAUAGUUGGUGGGGUAAUGGCCUACCAAGUCUACGAUCUAUAGCUGGUUUUAGAGGACGACCAGCAACACUGGGACUGAGACACGGCCCAGACUCCUACGGGAGGCAGCAGUGGGGAAUCUUAGACAAUGGGCGAAAGCCUGAUCUAGCCAUGCCGCGUGUGUGAUGAAGGUCUUAGGAUCGUAAAGCACUUUCGCCAGGGAUGAUAAUGACAGUACCUGGUAAAGAAACCCCGGCUAACUCCGUGCCAGCAGCCGCGGUAAUACGGAGGGGGUUAGCGUUGUUCGGAAUUACUGGGCGUAAAGCGUACGUAGGCGGAUCAGAAAGUAGGGGGUGAAAUCCCAGGGCUCAACCCUGGAACUGCCUCCUAAACUCCUGGUCUUGAGUUCGAGAGAGGUGAGUGGAAUUCCAAGUGUAGAGGUGAAAUUCGUAGAUAUUUGGAGGAACACCAGUGGCGAAGGCGGCUCACUGGCUCGAUACUGACGCUGAGGUACGAAAGUGUGGGGAGCAAACAGGAUUAGAUACCCUGGUAGUCCACACCGUAAACGAUGAAUGCCAGUCGUCGGGCAGUAUACUGUUCGGUGACACACCUAACGGAUUAAGCAUUCCGCCUGGGGAGUACGGUCGCAAGAUUAAAACUCAAAGGAAUUGACGGGGG
Molecule: ribosomal RNA, 812 nt
Filed under: Sulfitobacter mediterraneus
Lineage: Bacteria; Pseudomonadati; Pseudomonadota; Alphaproteobacteria; Rhodobacterales; Roseobacteraceae
Description: bacterial SSU rRNA
Rfam family: Bacterial small subunit ribosomal RNA
Source: RNAcentral